RNAcentral lists this ribosomal RNA (253 nucleotides) under uncultured bacterium. Its description in RNAcentral is "partial 16S ribosomal RNA". It matches the Rfam family "Bacterial small subunit ribosomal RNA", at positions 524 to 776 of the family's 1533-position model. The record is from RNAcentral.
CACGGGGGGAGCAAGCGUUGUUCGGAAUCACUGGGCGUAAAGGGCGUGUAGGCGGUCAGGUAAGUGGGAUGUGAAAUGCCCCGGCUCACCCGGGGACCGGCAUCCCAUACUGCUUGGCUUGAGUACGGGAGAGGAUGUGGGAAUUCCUGGUGUAGCGGUGAAAUGCGUAGAUAUCAGGAGGAACUCCGGUGGCGAAGGCGCACAUCUGGCCCGAUACUGACGCUGAGACGCGAAAGCGUGGGGAGCGAACAGG